This 551-nucleotide ribosomal RNA is filed under the name Candida albicans. Its description in RNAcentral is "partial large subunit ribosomal RNA". It matches the Rfam family "Eukaryotic large subunit ribosomal RNA", at positions 52 to 613 of the family's 3401-position model. The record is from RNAcentral. Lineage: Eukaryota; Fungi; Ascomycota; Pichiomycetes; Serinales; Debaryomycetaceae.
GGAGGAAAAGAAACCAACAGGGAUUGCCUCAGUAGCGGCGAGUGAAGCGGCAAAAGCUCAAAUUUGAAAUCUGGCGUCUUUGGCGUCCGAGUUGUAAUUUGAAGAAGGUAUCUUUGGGCCCGGCUCUUGUCUAUGUUCCUUGGAACAGGACGUCACAGAGGGUGAGAAUCCCGUGCGAUGAGAUGACCCGGGUCUGUGUAAAGUUCCUUCGACGAGUCGAGUUGUUUGGGAAUGCAGCUCUAAGUGGGUGGUAAAUUCCAUCUAAAGCUAAAUAUUGGCGAGAGACCGAUAGCGAACAAGUACAGUGAUGGAAAGAUGAAAAGAACUUUGAAAAGAGAGUGAAAAAGUACGUGAAAUUGUUGAAAGGGAAGGGCUUGAGAUCAGACUUGGUAUUUUGCAUGCUGCUCUCUCGGGGGCGGCCGCUGCGGUUUACCGGGCCAGCAUCGGUUUGGAGCGGCAGGAUAAUGGCGGAGGAAUGUGGCACGGCUUCUGCUGUGUGUUAUAGCCUCUGACGAUGCUGCCAGCCUAGACCGAGGACUGCGGUUUAACCU